UACGGAGGGUGCAAGCGUUAAUCGGAAUUACUGGGCGUAAAGCGCGCGUAGGCGGUUUGAUAAGUUAGAUGUGAAAUCCCAGGGCUCAACCUUGGAACUGCAUUUGAUACUGUCAGACUAGAGUAUGUUAGAGGAAAGUGGAAUUCCGGGUGUAGCGGUGAAAUGCGUAGAUAUCCGGAGGAACAUCAGUGGCGAAGGCGACUUUCUGGAACAAUACUGACGCUGAGGUGCGAAAGCGUGGGGAGCAAACAGG
RNAcentral lists this ribosomal RNA (253 nucleotides) under uncultured bacterium. RNAcentral's name for it is "partial 16S ribosomal RNA". It matches the Rfam family "Bacterial small subunit ribosomal RNA", at positions 524 to 776 of the family's 1533-position model. The record is from RNAcentral.